RNAcentral lists this ribosomal RNA (459 nucleotides) under uncultured bacterium. Its description in RNAcentral is "partial 16S ribosomal RNA". It matches the Rfam family "Bacterial small subunit ribosomal RNA", at positions 338 to 795 of the family's 1533-position model. The record is from RNAcentral.
CCUACGGGAGGCAGCAGUGAGGAAUAUUGGUCAAUGGACGAGAGUCUGAACCAGCCAAGUCGCGUGAGGGAUGACGGCCCUAUGGAUUGUAAACCUCUUUUGUCAGGGAGCAAAGUGCGCCACGUUUGCCUCUUUGCGAGUACCUUAAGAAAAAGCAUCGGCUAACUCCGUGCCAGCAGCCGCGGUAAUCCGGAGGAUGCGAGCGUUAUCCGGAUUUAUUGGGUUAAAGGGGUGCGCAGGCGGACUGUCAAGUCAGCGGUAAAAUUUCGGGGCUCAACCCAGUCGUGCCGUUGAAACUGGCGGUCUGGAGUGAGCGUGAAGUAGGCGGAAUGCGUGGUGUAGCGGUGAAAUGCAUAGAUAUCACGCAGAACUCCGAUUGCGAAGGCAGCAUACCGGAGCGCAACUGACGCUCAUGCACGAAAGCGUGGGUAUCGAACAGGAUUAGAUACCCCAGUAGUC